UACGGAGGGUGCUAGCGUUGUUCGGAAUCACUGGGCGUAAAGGGCGUGUAGGCGGCCUGCUAAGUCUGAUGUGAAAUCCCCUCGCUCAACGAGGGAACUGCGUCGGAUACUGGCAGACUCGAGUACCGGAGAGGAAGGUGGAAUUCCCGGUGUAGCGGUGAAAUGCGUAGAUAUCGGCAGGAACACCCAGGGGGAAACCAGUCGACUGGGCAGCACCUGACGCUGAGGUGCGAGAGCGUGGGGAGCGAACCGG
RNAcentral lists this ribosomal RNA (253 nucleotides) under uncultured bacterium. Its description in RNAcentral is "partial 16S ribosomal RNA". It matches the Rfam family "Bacterial small subunit ribosomal RNA", at positions 524 to 776 of the family's 1533-position model. The record is from RNAcentral.